Molecule: long non-coding RNA, 1062 nt
Organism: Clarias gariepinus (North African catfish)
Lineage: Eukaryota; Metazoa; Chordata; Actinopteri; Siluriformes; Clariidae
Exons: 3
Source: RefSeq, a predicted model, not a curated record
GAUUUUUUUUCAGGUAUAAAAGUAAAUGCAGUGCCGCUACUGUAAAUUUUCUGCACAGCAGCAAGACGUGCUGCUCAAGCAUUACAGGCUUCAUCACUGGAAAGCCGGUAAAGGGCUUUAAAGUUGUUGCUGGAUCGACCUGACGUACUUGAGAAGACGUUUCCUAUCAAGGAGAGGACACCAGGAUAUUACACCUCACCAUUUGAUGGAAACAAUGUUGCUUCGAGUUAUUCUCUCACCUGACAACAUCAGGAAGCUAACUAUACCCACACCAUCGUCUACUGAUGAGCUCGCUGCCGUUCUUUGUGAAAAAUUGCAGAUUCAGAGAGGUUUCGUGAUCCAAUAUGAGGAUCCUGAUUUCAACAAUGAACUUUGUACUUUACAUGACAUCACAGAACUUCCAAAAGACAAGGCUACUUUGAAGCUCCACUGGGAACUAGUUUUAAGUUCAAUGGCAGAGGAUGGUCACCUAUCUGAUUUCACUCUGGAUACAGCAAGCAUGACAUCCACUCAGUCAUCAUCUUCAUCAUCCCAUUCAGAUUUUCCUCCUCCAGCCCGAUCUAGAUCAGAUCAAUGGCCAAGCAAGUUUCCAGUGCCUUUAUUUUCAUAUGAUGUAGAGUUAAGGCUGAAGAGAGCCAAUGAGGAUCUUCAAGAAAAUGGAACAACGCUGAUUGUUCCAAGAGACAUUAAAAUAAAUAUAUUAGAAAAAUUGGCUGAAACAGUGUACUCCUACAAAGCCUACCCCAGUGACUCUGAAAUAGAGAAGGUUGCAUCUGCUUUAGUAGAAAAACACCCUUGUCUCAAAGAUCCAGGGUCUGAAAUGGGAUGGGGGGCAUGGAAAAUUAGCUUAAAGUUUAAAAUGGCAAAUUAUCGACAAAAACUCCGCAAUGCUGGAUGCACCGAGAUGGUUGUAAAUACUCAUUUAAGACAAGGUUCAUCUAGAGGAUCUCUGAAGAGGCCCAGAAGAUCUGAACUUAACUUUCUCCCUGAUCAUCCUGUUGGUUUAAAUGAAGAAGAAUUGGAGAAAGCAAGGGCAUUGAUGGAGGAAGAAGUCAAAAAGAA